RNAcentral lists this ribosomal RNA (497 nucleotides) under uncultured bacterium. Its description in RNAcentral is "partial 16S ribosomal RNA". It matches the Rfam family "Bacterial small subunit ribosomal RNA", at positions 28 to 507 of the family's 1533-position model. The record is from RNAcentral.
GACGAACGCUGGCGGCGUGCCUAAUACAUGCAAGUUGAGCGAUGAAGAUUGGUGCUUGCACCAAUUUGAAGAGCAGCGAACGGGUGAGUAACGCGUGGGGAAUCUGCCUUUGAGCGGGGGACAACAUUUGGAAACGAAUGCUAAUACCGCAUAACAACUUUAAACAUAAGUUUUAAGUUUGAAAGAUGCAAUUGCAUCACUCAAAGAUGAUCCCGCGUUGUAUUAGCUAGUUGGUGAGGUAAAGGCUCACCAAGGCGAUGAUACAUAGCCGACCUGAGAGGGUGAUCGGCCAAAAUGGGACUGGGACACGGCCCAAAAUCCUUCGGGGAGCAGCAAGAGGGAAACUUCGGCAAUGGACGAAAGUCUGACCGAGCAACGCCGCGUGAGUGAAGAAGGUUUUCGGAUCGUAAAACUCUGUUGGUAGGGAAGAACGUUGGUGAGAGUGGAAAGCUCAUCAAGUGACGGUAACUACCCAGAAAGGGACGGCUAACUACGUG